Molecule: ribosomal RNA, 669 nt
Filed under: Triticum aestivum (bread wheat)
Lineage: Eukaryota; Viridiplantae; Streptophyta; Magnoliopsida; Poales; Poaceae
Description: partial small subunit ribosomal RNA
Source: RNAcentral
AUGGAAGGAGCCAUCCCCAGCCGGCCAAACACGAGGGUCGCCGUCGUCACCGGCGGGAACAAGGGGAUCGGCUUCGAGGUGUGCCGGCAGCUAGCCAGCGACGGAGGAGUCACGGUCGUCCUGACGGCCCGGGACGAGACGAGGGGCACGGAGGCGGUCGAGAAGCUCAGAACGCUGGGGCUCACCGACGCCAACGUCGUCUUCCAUCAGCUGGACAUCACGGACGCUUCGAGCAUCGCCACGCUAGCCGAUUUCCUCAAGACCCGUUUCGGGAAGCUGGACAUCCUGGUGAACAAUGCUGCAAUCGCCGGGGUUGAGUACCCCCAAGAUGUGGAUACCAACGAGGAAAAGUUCGCUGGCAUGGAUAUCAAGCAGAGACUUGACUGGAUGAUAAAGACUGUCCGGGAGCCCAUCGGCGCCGCAAAGAAAGCCGUGGAGACGAACUACUACGGCACCAAGCAUGUCACCCAAGCCCUUCUGCCUCUGCUGCUGCAAUCUUCCUCUUCCUCCCAGGGGAAGAUAGUGUGCGUCUCCUCCGACUAUGGGCUGCUCAAGCUUAUCGGCGACGAGGAGAUCAGGCGGGACCUCGACGACAUCGACAACCUGACGGAGGAGAGGGUGGACGGAUUUUUUGUCCAAAAGGACCCCCUGCCGAACGCACUGAGAUGA